AACGAACGCUGGCGGCAGGCCUAACACAUGCAAGUCGAACGCCGUAGCAAUACGGAGUGGCAGACGGGUGAGUAACGCGUGGGAACAUACCCCUCGGUUCGGAAUAACUCAGGGAAACUUGAGCUAAUACCGGAUACGUCCGAGGUUUUAAUCGGCCUUGGAGAAAGAUUUAUCGCCGGAGGAUUGGCCCGCGUCUGAUUAGCUUGUUGGUGAGGUAAUGGCUCACCAAGGCGACGANCAGUAGCUGGUCUGAGAGGAUGAUCAGCCACAUUGGGACUGAGACACGGCCCAAACUCCUACGGGAGGCAGCAGUGGGGAAUAUUGGACAAUGGGCGAAAGCCUGAUCCAGCCAUGCCGCUUGAGUGAUGAAGGCCUUAGGGUUGUAAAGCCCUUUUGUUGGGAAAGAAAUCCUGCCGGCUAAUACCCGGUAGGGAUGACGGUACCCAAAGAAUAAGCACCGGCUAACUUCGUGCCAGCAGCCGCAGUAAG
RNAcentral lists this ribosomal RNA (489 nucleotides) under uncultured bacterium. RNAcentral's name for it is "bacterial SSU rRNA". It matches the Rfam family "Bacterial small subunit ribosomal RNA", at positions 29 to 524 of the family's 1533-position model. The record is from RNAcentral.